GAUGAACGCUGACAGAAUGCUUAACACAUGCAAGUCUACUUGAACUUCGGUUUGGGUGGCGGACGGGUGAGUAACGCGUAAAGAACUUGCCUCACAGUUAGGGACAACAUUUGGAAACGAAUGCUAAUACCUGAUAUUAUGAUUUUAGGGCAUCCUAAGAUUAUGAAAGCUAUAUGUGCUGUGAGAGAGCUUUGCGUCCCAUUAGCUAGUUGGAGAGGUAACGGCUCACCAAGGCGAUGAUGGGUAGCCGGCCUGAGAGGGUGAACGGCCACAAGGGGACUGAGACACGGCCCUUACUCCUACGGGAGGCAGCAGUGGGGAAUAUUGGACAAUGGACCAAAAGUCUGAUCCAGCAAUUCUGUGUGCACGAUGACGUUUUUCGGAAUGUAAAGUGCUUUCAGUUGGGAAGAAAAAAAUGACGGUACCAACAGAAGAAGUGACGGCUAAAUACGUGCCAGCAGCCGCGGUAAUACGUAUGUCACAAGCGUUAUCCGGAUUUAUUGGGCGUAAAGCGCGUCUAGGUGGUUAUGUAAGUCUGAUGUGAAAAUGCAGGGCUCAACUCUGUAUUGCGUUGGAAACUGCAUGACUAGAGUACUGGAGAGGUAAGCGGAACUACAAGUGUAGAGGUGAAAUUCGUAUAUAUUUGUAGGAAUGCCGAUGGGGAAGCCAGCUUACUGGACAGAUACUGACGCUAAAGCGCGUGAGCGUGGGUAUCAAACAAG
This 722-nucleotide ribosomal RNA is filed under the name uncultured Fusobacterium sp. Its description in RNAcentral is "bacterial SSU rRNA". It matches the Rfam family "Bacterial small subunit ribosomal RNA", at positions 28 to 776 of the family's 1533-position model. Lineage: Bacteria; Fusobacteriati; Fusobacteriota; Fusobacteriia; Fusobacteriales; Fusobacteriaceae. The record is from RNAcentral.